AAACCGUGUGCGUACAAGCAGUGGGAGCAGGCAGGUCCUGUGACCGCGUACCUUUUGUAUAAUGGGUCAGCGACUUAUUUUCAGUGGCGAGCUUAACCGAUUAGGGGAGGCGUAGAGAAAUCGAGUCUUAACUGGGCGACCAGUCGCUGGAAAUAGACCCGAAACCGGGCGAUCUAUCCAUGAGCAGGUUGAAGGUUGAGUAACAUCAACUGGAGGACCGAACCAGGAUCUGUUGAAAAAGAUUUGGAUGACUUGUGGAUCGGAGUGAAAGGCUAAUCAAGCCCGGAGAUAGCUGGUUCUCCUCGAAAGCUAUUUAGGUAGCGCCUCACGUAUCACCGCCGGGGGUAGAGCACUGUUUCGGCUAGGGGGCCAUCCCGGCUUACCAACCCGAGGCAAACUCCGAAUACCGGUGAGUGCAAGCGUGGGAGACACACAGCGGGUGCUAACGUCCGUUGUGAAAAGGGAAACAACCCAGACCGUCAGCUAAGGUCCCGAAAUCCUGGUUAAGUGGGAAACGAUGUGGGAAGGCUUAGACAGCUAGGAGGUUGGCUUAGAAGCAGCCAUCCUUUAAAGAAAGCGUAAUAGCUCACUAGUCGAGUCGGCCUGCGCGGAAGAUGUAACGGGGCUCAAACCAGGUACCGAAGCUACGGGUUCAUCCUCUGGAUGAGCGGUAGAGGAGCGUCGUGUACGCCGAUGAAGGUGAGUCGAAAGGCUUGCUGGAGGUAUCACGAGUGCGAAUGCUGACAUGAGUAACGAUAAGGGGAGUGAAAAACUCCCCCGCCGGAAGACCAAGGGUUUCUGUUCGACGCUAAUCGGAGCAGAGUGAGUCGGCCCCUAAGGCGAGGCCGAAAGGCGUAGUCGAUGGGAAACGGGUCAAUAUUCCCGUACCUCACUGUAUUGCGAUGGGGGGACGAAGAAGGCUAGGUGAGCCAGGCGUUGGUUGUCCUGGUGAAAGUCAGUAGGCUGGGGAAUCAGGCAAAUCCGGUUCCCCAAGGCCGAGAGACGAGACGAACAGACUACGGUCUGGAAGUCAUUGAUGCCACGCUUCCAGGAAAAGCCUCUAAGCUUCAGAUACAGUGGGACCGUACCCCAAACCGACACAGGUGGUCAGGGUGAGAAUCCCAAGGCGCUUGAGAGAACUCGGGUGAAGGAACUAGGCAAAAUGGUGCCGUAACUUCGGGAGAAGGCACGCCGCCGUUACGUGAAGGCCCUCGCGGCUGGAGCGGAAGGCGGUCGAAGAUACCAGGUGGCUGCAACUGUUUAUUAAAAACACAGUACUCUGCAAACGCGUAAGCGGACGUAUAGGGUAUGACGCCUGCCCGGUGCCGGAAGGUUAAUUGAUGGUGUUAGCGUAAGCGAAGCUCCUGAUCGAAGCCCCGGUAAACGGCGGCCGUAACUAUAACGGUCCUAAGGUAGCGAAAUUCCUUGUCGGGUAAGUUCCGACCUGCACGAAUGGCGUAAUGAUGGCCACGCUGUCUCCACCCGAGACUCAGUGAAAUUGAAAUCGCAGUGAAGAUGCUGUGUACCCGCGGCUAGACGGAAAGACCCCGUGAACCUUUACUACAGCUUCACACUGGACGCUGAUGUUGCUUGUGUAGGAUAGCUGGGAGGCUUUGAAACGGUAGCGCCAGCUACCGUGGAGCCAACCUUGAAAUACCAGCCUGGCAUCAUUGGCGUUCUAACUCAGGUCCGUUAUCCGGAUCGAGGACCGUGUGUGGUGGGUAGUUUGACUGGGGCGGUCUCCUCCCAAAGUGUAACGGAGGAGCACGAAGGUACCCUCAGCACGGUCGGAAAUCGUGCAAUGAGUGCAAGAGCAUAAGGGUGCUUAACUGCGAGACAGACACGUCGAGCAGAUACGAAAGUAGGUUCUAGUGAUCCGGUGGUUCUGUAUGGAAGGGCCAUCGCUCAACGGAUAAAAGGUACUCCGGGGAUAACAGGCUGAUACCGCCCAAGAGUUCACAUCGACGGCGGUGUUUGGCACCUCGAUGUCGGCUCAUCACAUCCUGGGGCUGAAGUCGGUCCCAAGGGUAUGGCUGUUCGCCAUUUAAAGUGGUACGCGAGCUGGGUUUAGAACGUCGUGAGACAGUUCGGUCCCUAUCUGCCGUGGGCGUUGGAGAUUUGAGAAGUGCUGCUCCUAGUACGAGAGGACCGGAGUGGACGACCCUCUGGUGUACCGGUUGUCACGCCCGUGGCAUUGCCGGGUAGCUAAGGUCGGACGGGAUAACCGCUGAAAGCAUCUAAGCGGGAAGCCUCCUUCAAGAUGAGAUCUCCCCGAGGCCUCGAGCCUCCUGAAGGGUCCAGCAAGACGAGCUGGUUGAUAGGCCGGAUGUGGAAGCGCUGCAAGGCGUUGAGCUGACCGGUACUAAUGGCCCGUGAGGCUUGACCAU
Molecule: ribosomal RNA, 2387 nt
Filed under: Halomonas caseinilytica
Lineage: Bacteria; Pseudomonadati; Pseudomonadota; Gammaproteobacteria; Oceanospirillales; Halomonadaceae
Description: bacterial LSU rRNA
Rfam family: Bacterial large subunit ribosomal RNA
Source: RNAcentral